GACGAACGCUGGCGGCGUGCUUAACACAUGCAAGUCGAACGGAAAGGCCCUGCUUUUGUGGGGUGCUCGAGUGGCGAACGGGUGAGUAACACGUGAGUAACCUGCCCUUGACUUUGGGGUAACUUCAGGAAACUGGGGCUAAUACCGGAUAGGAUCUCCUGCUGCAUGGUGGGGGUUGGAAAGUUUCGGCGGUUGGGGAUGGACUCGCGGCUUAUCAGCUUGUUGGUGGGGUAGGGGCUUACCAAGGCUUUGACGGGUAGCCGGCCUGAGAGGGUGACCGGCCACCAUGGGACUGAGAUACGGACCAGAGUGCUACGGGAGGCAGCAGUGGGGAAUAUUGCACAAUGGGCGGAAGCCUGAUGCAGCAACGCCGCGUGUGGGAUGACGGCCUUCGGGUUGUGAAAAGCUUUCGCCUGUGACGAAGCGUGAGUGACGGUAAUGGGUAAAGAAGCACCGGCUAACUACGUG
Molecule: ribosomal RNA, 468 nt
Filed under: uncultured bacterium
Lineage: Bacteria
Description: partial 16S ribosomal RNA
Rfam family: Bacterial small subunit ribosomal RNA
Source: RNAcentral